GGUUAAGCGACUAAGCGUACACGGUGGAUGCCCUGGCAGUCAGAGGCGAUGAAGGACGUGCUAAUCUGCGAAAAGCGUCGGUAAGGUGAUAUGAACCGUUAUAACCGGCGAUGUCCGAAUGGGGAAACCCAGUGUGUUUCGACACACUAUCAUUAACUGAAUCCAUAGGUUAAUGAGGCGAACCGGGGGAACUGAAACAUCUAAGUACCCCGAGGAAAAGAAAUCAACCGAGAUUCCCCCAGUAGCGGCGAGCGAACGGGGAGGAGCCCAGAGCCUGAAUCAGUGUGUGUGUUAGUGGAAGCGUCUGGAAAGGCGUGCGAUACAGGGUGACAGCCCCGUACACAAAAAUGCACAUGCUGUGAGCUCGAUGAGUAGGGCGGGACACGUGGUAUCCUGUCUGAAUAUGGGGGGACCAUCCUCCAAGGCUAAAUACUCCUGACUGACCGAUAGUGAACCAGUACCGUGAGGGAAAGGCGAAAAGAACCCCGGCGAGGGGAGUGAAAAAGAACCUGAAACCGUGUACGUACAAGCAGUGGGAGCCCUGAUUUAUCAGGGUGACUGCGUACCUUUUGUAUAAUGGGUCAGCGACUUAUAUUCUGUAGCAAGGUUAACCGAAUAGGGGAGCCGGAGGGAAACCGAGUCUUAACUGGGCGUUAAGUUGCAGGGUAUAGACCCGAAACCCGGUGAUCUAGCCAUGGGCAGGUUGAAGGUUGGGUAACACUAACUGGAGGACCGAACCGACUAAUGUUGAAAAAUUAGCGGAUGACUUGUGGCUGGGGGUGAAAGGCCAAUCAAACCGGGAGAUAGCUGGUUCUCCCCGAAAGCUAUUUAGGUAGCGCCUCGUGAAUUCAUCUCCGGGGGUAGAGCACUGUUUCGGCAAGGGGGUCAUCCCGACUUACCAACCCGAUGCAAACUGCGAAUACCGGAGAAUGUUAUCACGGGAGACACACGGCGGGUGCUAACGUCCGUCGUGAAGAGGGAAACAACCCAGACCGCCAGCUAAGGUCCCAAAGUCAUGGUUAAGUGGGAAACGAUGUGGGAAGGCCCAGACAGCCAGGAUGUUGGCUUAGAAGCAGCCAUCAUUUAAAGAAAGCGUAAUAGCUCACUGGUCGAGUCGGCCUGCGCGGAAGAUGUAACGGGGCUAAACCAUGCACCGAAGCUGCGGCAGCGACACUGUGUGUUGUUGGGUAGGGGAGCGUUCUGUAAGCCUGUGAAGGUAUGCUGUGAGGCAUGCUGGAGGUAUCAGAAGUGCGAAUGCUGACAUAAGUAACGAUAAAGCGGGUGAAAAGCCCGCUCGCCGGAAGACCAAGGGUUCCUGUCCAACGUUAAUCGGGGCAGGGUGAGUCGACCCCUAAGGCGAGGCCGAAAGGCGUAGUCGAUGGGAAACAGGUUAAUAUUCCUGUACUUGGUGUUACUGCGAAGGGGGGACGGAGAAGGCUAUGUUGGCCGGGCGACGGUUGUCCCGGUUUAAGCGUGUAGGCUGGUUUUCCAGGCAAAUCCGGAGAAUCAAGGCUGAGGCGUGAUGACGAGGCACUACGGUGCUGAAGCAACAAAUGCCCUGCUUCCAGGAAAAGCCUCUAAGCAUCAGGUAACAUCAAAUCGUACCCCAAACCGACACAGGUGGUCAGGUAGAGAAUACCAAGGCGCUUGAGAGAACUCGGGUGAAGGAACUAGGCAAAAUGGUGCCGUAACUUCGGGAGAAGGCACGCUGAUGGUAGGUGAAGCGACUUGCUCGUGGAGCUGAAAUCAGUCGAAGAUACCAGCUGGCUGCAACUGUUUAUUAAAAACACAGCACUGUGCAAACACGAAAGUGGACGUAUACGGUGUGACGCCUGCCCGGUGCCGGAAGGUUAAUUGAUGGGGUCAGCGCAAGCGAAGCUCUUGAUCGAAGCCCCGGUAAACGGCGGCCGUAACUAUAACGGUCCUAAGGUAGCGAAAUUCCUUGUCGGGUAAGUUCCGACCUGCACGAAUGGCGUAAUGAUGGCCAGGCUGUCUCCACCCGAGACUCAGUGAAAUUGAACUCGCUGUGAAGAUGCAGUGUACCCGCGGCAAGACGGAAAGACCCCGUGAACCUUUACUAUAGCUUGACACUGAACACUGGUCCUUGAUGUGUAGGAUAGGUGGGAGGCUUUGAAGUGUGGACGCCAGUCUGCAUGGAGCCGUCCUUGAAAUACCACCCUUUAAUGGCUGGUGUUCUAACGUGGGCCCGUAAUCCGGGUUGCGGACAGUGUCUGGUGGGUAGUUUGACUGGGGCGGUCUCCUCCUAAAGAGUAACGGAGGAGCACGAAGGUUGGCUAAUCCUGGUCGGACAUCAGGAGGUUAGUGCAA
RNAcentral lists this ribosomal RNA (2328 nucleotides) under Escherichia albertii. Its description in RNAcentral is "partial 23S ribosomal RNA". It matches the Rfam family "Bacterial large subunit ribosomal RNA", at positions 1 to 2354 of the family's 2925-position model. Lineage: Bacteria; Pseudomonadati; Pseudomonadota; Gammaproteobacteria; Enterobacterales; Enterobacteriaceae. The record is from RNAcentral.